CGGUGGAAUUCUGCACCAACAGAAUUGACGCUAGAGGAAGGGGUUUGUGUCUUCGUAAAACUCUUGUUCUUAAAGGAGUGCUCAAUGGGACUAUCUCCGGUCAUCUUCUUCGACAUCUUCUUCUCCUUCUCCUACCAGAUCUCCAUCUGAUGUCUCCCCGAAAGGCAUCCACCAGGCGAUCCAUGGCCUCCGCGGCCAGAUCCCAGC
RNAcentral lists this long non-coding RNA (207 nucleotides) under Elaeis guineensis (African oil palm). Its description in RNAcentral is "long non-coding RNA (EGUI_LNC060419)". Lineage: Eukaryota; Viridiplantae; Streptophyta; Magnoliopsida; Arecales; Arecaceae. The record is from RNAcentral.